UGGGGAAUCUUGCACAAUGGGGGAAACCCUGAUGCAGCGACGCCCCGUGAGCGAUGAAGGUUUUCGAAUCGUAAAGCCCUGUCCUAUGGGAAGAUAAUGACGGUACCAUGGGAGGAAGCCCCGGCUAACUACGUGCCAGCAGCCGCGGUAAUACGUAGGGGGCGAGCGUUGUCCGGAAUUACUGGGCGUAAAGGGUUCGCAGGCGGCAUGGCAAGUCCGAUGUAAAAGGCGAAGGCUCAACCUUCGUAAGCAUCGGAAACUGUCAAGCUUGAGUGAAGGGGAGGCAAGUGGAAUUCCUAGUGUAGCGGUGGAAUGCGUAGAUAUUAGGAGGAAUACCGGUGGCGAAGGCGACUUGCUGGACUUCAACUGACGCUGAGGAACGAAAGCGUGGGUAGCAAACAGG
This 403-nucleotide ribosomal RNA is filed under the name Fusobacteriota bacterium. RNAcentral's name for it is "Fusobacteria bacterium partial 16S ribosomal RNA". It matches the Rfam family "Bacterial small subunit ribosomal RNA", at positions 355 to 776 of the family's 1533-position model. The record is from RNAcentral. Lineage: Bacteria; Fusobacteriati; Fusobacteriota.